RNAcentral lists this ribosomal RNA (472 nucleotides) under uncultured bacterium. RNAcentral describes it as "bacterial SSU rRNA". It matches the Rfam family "Bacterial small subunit ribosomal RNA", at positions 355 to 825 of the family's 1533-position model. The record is from RNAcentral.
UGGGGAAUUUUGGACAAUGGGCGGAAGCCUGAUCCAGCAAUGCCGCGUGCAGGAAGAAGGCCUUCGGGUUGUAAACUGCUUUUGUACGGAACGAAAAGGCUCUUUCUAAUAAAGAGGGCCCAUGACGGUACCGUAAGAAUAAGCACCGGCUAACUACGUGCCAGCAGCCGCGGUAAUACGUAGGGUGCGAGCGUUAAUCGGAAUUACUGGGCGUAAAGCGUGCGCAGGCGGCUCUAUAAGACAGAUGUGAAAUCCCCGGGCUCAACCUGGGAAUGGCAUUUGUGACUGUAGAGCUAGAGUACGGUAGAGGGGGAUGGAAUUCCGCGUGUAGCAGUGAAAUGCGUAGAUAUGCGGAGGAACACCGAUGGCGAAGGCAAUCCCCUGGACCUGUACUGACGCUCAUGCACGAAAGCGUGGGGAGCAAACAGGAUUAGAUACCCAGGUAGUCCCUGAGCGGGCUGGCAAGGCGCAU